GAUGAACGCUGGCGGCGUGCCUAAUACAUGCAAGUCGAGCGAACGGACGAGAAGCUUGCUUCUCUGAUGUUAGCGGCGGACGGGUGAGUAACACGUGGAUAACCUACCUAUAAGACUGAGAUAACUUCGGGAAACCGUAGCUAAUACCGGAUAAUAUUUUGAACCGCAUGGUUCAAAAGUGAAAGACGGUCUUGCUGUCACUUAUAGAUGGAUCCGCGCUGCAUUAGCUAGUUGGUAAGGUAACGGCUUACCAAGGCAACGAUGCAUAGCCGACCUGAGAGGGUGAUCGGCCACACUGGAACUGAGACACGGUCCAGACUCCUACGGGAGGCAGCAGUAGGGAAUCUUCCGCAAUGGGCGAAAGCCUGACGGAGCAACGCCGCGUGAGUGAUGAAGGUCUUCGGAUCGUAAAACUCUGUUAUUAGGGAAGAACAUAUGUGUAAGUAACUGUGCACAUCUUGACGGUACCUAAUCAGAAAGCCACGGCUAACUACGUG
RNAcentral lists this ribosomal RNA (497 nucleotides) under uncultured bacterium. RNAcentral describes it as "partial 16S ribosomal RNA". It matches the Rfam family "Bacterial small subunit ribosomal RNA", at positions 28 to 507 of the family's 1533-position model. The record is from RNAcentral.